This 2904-nucleotide ribosomal RNA is filed under the name Enterobacter cloacae. Its description in RNAcentral is "23S ribosomal RNA". It matches the Rfam family "Bacterial large subunit ribosomal RNA". RNAcentral also lists the same sequence under 2 other names. The record is from RNAcentral. Lineage: Bacteria; Pseudomonadati; Pseudomonadota; Gammaproteobacteria; Enterobacterales; Enterobacteriaceae.
GGUUAAGCGACUAAGCGUACACGGUGGAUGCCCUGGCAGUCAGAGGCGAUGAAGGACGUGCUAAUCUGCGAAAAGCGCCGGCGAGGUGAUAUGAACCCUUGACCCGGCGAUGUCCGAAUGGGGAAACCCAGUGUGUUCCGACACACUAUCGUUAACUGAAUACAUAGGUUAACGAGGCGAACCGGGGGAACUGAAACAUCUAAGUACCCCGAGGAAAAGAAAUCAACCGAGAUUCCCCCAGUAGCGGCGAGCGAACGGGGAGCAGCCCGGAGUCUGAAUCAGCUUGUGUGUUAGUGGAACGGUCUGGAAAGUCCGACGGUACAGGGUGAUAGUCCCGUACACGAAAACACACUUGCUGUGAACUCGAAGAGUAGGGCGGGACACGUGGUAUCCUGUCUGAAUAUGGGGGGACCAUCCUCCAAGGCUAAAUACUCCUGACUGACCGAUAGUGAACCAGUACCGUGAGGGAAAGGCGAAAAGAACCCCGGCGAGGGGAGUGAAAAAGAACCUGAAACCGUGUACGUACAAGCAGUGGGAGCACCUUCGGGUGUGACUGCGUACCUUUUGUAUAAUGGGUCAGCGACUUAUAUUCUGUAGCAAGGUUAACCGUAUAGGGGAGCCGAAGGGAAACCGAGUCUUAACUGGGCGUUAAGUUGCAGGGUAUAGACCCGAAACCCGGUGAUCUAGCCAUGGGCAGGUUGAAGGUUGGGUAACACUAACUGGAGGACCGAACCGACUAAUGUUGAAAAAUUAGCGGAUGACCUGUGGCUGGGGGUGAAAGGCCAAUCAAACCGGGAGAUAGCUGGUUCUCCCCGAAAGCUAUUUAGGUAGCGCCUCGUGAACUCAUCUUCGGGGGUAGAGCACUGUUUCGGCUAGGGGGCCAUCCCGGCUUACCAACCCGAUGCAAACUACGAAUACCGAAGAAUGUUAUCACGGGAGACACACGGCGGGUGCUAACGUCCGUCGUGAAGAGGGAAACAACCCAGACCGCCAGCUAAGGUCCCAAAGUCAUGGUUAAGUGGGAAACGAUGUGGGAAGGCACAGACAGCCAGGAUGUUGGCUUAGAAGCAGCCAUCAUUUAAAGAAAGCGUAAUAGCUCACUGGUCGAGUCGGCCUGCGCGGAAGAUGUAACGGGGCUAAACCAUGCACCGAAGCUGCGGCAGCGACGCUUAUGCGUUGUUGGGUAGGGGAGCGUUCUGUAAGCCGUUGAAGGUGUGCUGUGAGGCAUGCUGGAGGUAUCAGAAGUGCGAAUGCUGACAUAAGUAACGAUAAAGCGGGUGAAAAGCCCGCUCGCCGGAAGACCAAGGGUUCCUGUCCAACGUUAAUCGGGGCAGGGUGAGUCGACCCCUAAGGCGAGGCCGAAAGGCGUAGUCGAUGGGAAACAGGUUAAUAUUCCUGUACUUGGUGUUACUGCGAAGGGGGGACGGAGAAGGCUAUGUCAGCCGGGCGACGGUUGUCCCGGUUUAAGCAUGUAGGCGGAGGUUCCAGGUAAAUCCGGUACCUUUUAACGCUGAGGUGUGAUGACGAGGCACUACGGUGCUGAAGUGAUAAAUGCCCUGCUUCCAGGAAAAGCCUCUAAGCAUCAGGUAACACGAAAUCGUACCCCAAACCGACACAGGUGGUCAGGUAGAGAAUACCAAGGCGCUUGAGAGAACUCGGGUGAAGGAACUAGGCAAAAUGGUGCCGUAACUUCGGGAGAAGGCACGCUGAUAUGUAGGUGAAGUCCCUGCGGACGGAGCUGAAAUCAGUCGAAGAUACCAGCUGGCUGCAACUGUUUAUUAAAAACACAGCACUGUGCAAACACGAAAGUGGACGUAUACGGUGUGACGCCUGCCCGGUGCCGGAAGGUUAAUUGAUGGGGUUAGCGGCAACGCGAAGCUCUUGAUCGAAGCCCCGGUAAACGGCGGCCGUAACUAUAACGGUCCUAAGGUAGCGAAAUUCCUUGUCGGGUAAGUUCCGACCUGCACGAAUGGCGUAAUGAUGGCCAGGCUGUCUCCACCCGAGACUCAGUGAAAUUGAACUCGCUGUGAAGAUGCAGUGUACCCGCGGCAAGACGGAAAGACCCCGUGAACCUUUACUAUAGCUUGACACUGAACACUGGUCCUUGAUGUGUAGGAUAGGUGGGAGGCUUUGAAGCGUGGACGCCAGUCUGCGUGGAGCCGUCCUUGAAAUACCACCCUUUAAUGGCUGGUGUUCUAACGUAGACCCGUGAUCCGGGUUGCGGACAGUGUCUGGUGGGUAGUUUGACUGGGGCGGUCUCCUCCCAAAGAGUAACGGAGGAGCACGAAGGUUGGCUAAUCCUGGUCGGACAUCAGGAGGUUAGUGCAAUGGCAUAAGCCAGCUUGACUGCGAGCGUGACGGCGCGAGCAGGUGCGAAAGCAGGUCAUAGUGAUCCGGUGGUUCUGAAUGGAAGGGCCAUCGCUCAACGGAUAAAAGGUACUCCGGGGAUAACAGGCUGAUACCGCCCAAGAGUUCAUAUCGACGGCGGUGUUUGGCACCUCGAUGUCGGCUCAUCACAUCCUGGGGCUGAAGUAGGUCCCAAGGGUAUGGCUGUUCGCCAUUUAAAGUGGUACGCGAGCUGGGUUUAGAACGUCGUGAGACAGUUCGGUCCCUAUCUGCCGUGGGCGCUGGAGAAUUGAGGGGGGCUGCUCCUAGUACGAGAGGACCGGAGUGGACGCAUCACUGGUGUUCGGGUUGUCAUGCCAAUGGCACUGCCCGGUAGCUAAAUGCGGAAGAGAUAAGUGCUGAAAGCAUCUAAGCACGAAACUUGCCCCGAGAUGAGUUCUCCCUGAGACCUUGAGUCUCCUGAAGGAACGUUGAAGACGACGACGUUGAUAGGUCGGGUGUGUAAGCGCAGCGAUGCGUUGAGCUAACCGAUACUAAUGAACCGUGAGGCUUAACCUU